CAGUAGCCGCGGUAAUGCGAAGGUGGCAAGCGUUGUCCGGAAUUAUUGGGCGUAAAGGGCUCGCAGGCGGUUUCUUAAGUCUGAUGUGAAAGCCCCCGGCUCAACCGGGGAGGGUCAUUGGAAACUGGGAAACUUGAGUGCAGAAGAGGAGAGUGGAAUUCCACGUGUAGCGGUGAAAUGCGUAGAGAUGUGGAGGAACACCAGUGGCGAAGGCGACUCUCUGGUCUGUAACUGACGCUGAGGAGCGAAAGCGUGGGGAGCGAACAGGAUUAGAUACCCCCGUAGUCCCUGUCUCUUAUAC
This 301-nucleotide ribosomal RNA is filed under the name uncultured bacterium. Its description in RNAcentral is "partial 16S ribosomal RNA". It matches the Rfam family "Bacterial small subunit ribosomal RNA", at positions 509 to 807 of the family's 1533-position model. The record is from RNAcentral.